This 782-nucleotide long non-coding RNA is filed under the name Vombatus ursinus (common wombat). Its description in RNAcentral is "lncRNA (ENSVURG00010008796.1)". Lineage: Eukaryota; Metazoa; Chordata; Mammalia; Diprotodontia; Vombatidae. The record is from RNAcentral.
AUGAAACAAAGCCACUUGACAGCACCCUCUCUGUGACUUACUUGUAAGAAGAAGUCUGCCACUGAACAUGUAUGCAAGCUUCGUAGUGAGUGGUCGGCUAGUUUGAUUGGUGGUUUAACUACAAUAUUUCAUCACUGUUGCAAAAAUGAGCUGAGUCCCUAAAAAGGAAACAAGUAAAACAGGCAGUCCAACCUUUUUUCAGUCAUCUUACCAGAGUUUUGCUUCUAAGGAAGAGGUUCUCUUUAAAUGGUUGGGAAAUAACAUCGUCCUGAAGGGUAAAGUUGGUGUAACUGAAGCACUCCAGGAUUUAGUCAAACAAAAAUUGUUUUAAGAGGAAUAAAAAAAUGGGAUCAAGUCCCUCCAAACCAAUGACAAGCACUGAAGAACCAUACAGCACAUCAACAGAAGCCACACACGCUGGUAUACCAGAUUGCCCAAUUGCUCUCGAGAAAAUAUACCCUUACUUACUUAUGGCAUUUGUUGCUGGGGUCCUUCUGACGCUUCUGGUCACUGCCAUCAUCUUCGUCAUCAAGAAGAGCUGUUCCAAACAUCCAACCAGCGGCUCCCAGGCAAUUCCCCUGGCCUCAGACCCUUCCCACACGUGUUGCCCCACUGCUGAGGAGGCCCUUACCUGUGCUGACAUGUCUCUCAAAGAUUCAGGAGAAAACAGAGUCUGCUUUACCCAAAACCAGCAUGAAGAAUUGGACCCCAUUGUCUAUGCACAAAUCAAAGUGCAAACCAAAACCAGCCUUCCCAUCAGUGGAAGUGGGGAGAUGCGCUAG